GGCGAGGUAGCUCAGGCGGUUAGAGCGUCGGAUUCAUAACCCGGAGGUCGGGAGUUCAAGUCUCCCCCUCGCUA
RNAcentral lists this transfer RNA (74 nucleotides) under Flavobacteriaceae bacterium. RNAcentral's name for it is "tRNA-Met". It matches the Rfam family "tRNA". Rfam says of the family: Transfer RNA (tRNA) molecules are approximately 80 nucleotides in length. Their secondary structure includes four short double-helical elements and three loops (D, anti-codon, and T loops). RNAcentral also lists the same sequence under 2 other names. The record is from RNAcentral. Lineage: Bacteria; Pseudomonadati; Bacteroidota; Flavobacteriia; Flavobacteriales; Flavobacteriaceae.